CCCCUUAGAGUUUGAUCCUGGCUCAAGACGAACGCUGGCGGCGUGCUUAACACAUGCAAGUCGUACGGUAAGGCCCUUUCGGGGGUACACGAGUGGCGAACGGGUGAGUAACACGUGAGUAACCUGCCCACAACUUUGGGAUAACGCUAGGAAACUGGUGCUAAUACUGGAUAUGUGCUCCUGCUGCAUGGUGGGGGUUGGAAAGCUCCGGCGGUUGUGGAUGGACUCGCGGCCUAUCAGCCUGUUGGUGGGGUAGUGGCCUACCAAGGCGGCGACGGGUAGCCGGCCUGAGAGGGUGACCGGCCACAUUGGGACUGAGAUACGGCCCAGACUCCUACGGGAGGCAGCAGUGGGGAAUAUUGCACAAUGGGCGCAAGCCUGAUGCAGCAACGCCGCGUGCGGGAUGACGGCCUUCGGGUUGUAAACCGCUCUCAGCAGGGACGAAGCUUUUUGUGACGGUACCUGCAAAAGAAGCACCGGCUAACUACGUGCCAGCAGCCGCGGUGAUACGUAGGGUGCGAGCGUUGUCCGGAUUUAUUGGGCGUAAAGGGC
RNAcentral lists this ribosomal RNA (552 nucleotides) under uncultured organism. Its description in RNAcentral is "SSU rRNA". It matches the Rfam family "Bacterial small subunit ribosomal RNA", at positions 1 to 568 of the family's 1533-position model. The record is from RNAcentral.